CUUAGACCAGGAUGGUAACAAUGGUUCUGGUAAGAAUGGGAUGUAGUCUACCUGCAUGGUAAAUGCAAUGAAGCAAGUUUUAUUUAGUGGUUAAAUGUUAGGUAUGAGAAAGAAAAUGCCUAGGUGAAUUCAACUCAAAGGUUUUGGUUCUGAGCACUUGCAAAGGUGGUGAAUUCCAUCAAAUAAGAAGAGGAAAGCUACAGUUCCAACAAAUGUGUGGAGGAAAAUUGGGAGAACAGUUUUAGAUGUUAAACCUGAAGUGUGUAUUAAACACAGAACUGAAAUAUUGGCCUAGGCACUUCAAUAUAAUAGCUUGUACUACCCUAGAGGCUAUAUUUAUUUAGUAGUUAUUACUAUACAUAUUUAAAUUCCCAAGGCAGGAUAAGACAAUUAGGAACUUGAGUGUAAAAAACAACAAAGACUAAGCCAUGUUGCAUCCCAAUGUUCAAGAAAGGGACAGACCAGUGAGGAAGCUACGAUGGAGGACCAAAGUGGUGGGAGGGGAACCAAGGGCAGGGAAUAUAGAAACCAAAUGAAAGGACAGACAAUCAAUGGUAACAGAUACCCCUGGAAAAUUAAAUAAUACAAGGUUUGACAAUGGCCAUUGGGUCCAGCAAUAUCAAUAUUACAAGUGACCUUGAGAAGGAUAGAGAUGUAUUGUCUGUUUCAGAGUGGAGAAUAUAAAAGCCUGAUAAGACAGUAGGAUACCAUGAUGACCCAUUCAUUGUUUAUGCAACAAAGUCACAAGCAC
This 751-nucleotide long non-coding RNA is filed under the name Marmota monax (woodchuck). The record is from RNAcentral. Lineage: Eukaryota; Metazoa; Chordata; Mammalia; Rodentia; Sciuridae.